AACGUUUUUAACCCUUGGAAUAGGGUAUAAUGGUGCUAAAUGUUAUUCGAAUUGGGAAAGUUAGACCAACUUUAAUUUGGGAAGAUAAUUAUACUUGUUGGAAGGUCAAAGACAUAAGAAUAAAUAUAGUUCUUAGACAGGUUGAGGACCAUCUUAGGAAAAAUGAAUAUUUCAAGGUGAAUAACACCUUAAAUAUAUUGCAGAGAGCUUUCUGCCAAGUUCAAAAUGUACCAGUUUAUCAUCAAGAUGGCUUGGUAGGAUCAUCUUCCAAGAGUGACACCCUUUUGAAAGUUUUUGAACUUGGAAGAGA
Molecule: unclassified non-coding RNA, 310 nt
Filed under: Hevea brasiliensis (rubber tree)
Lineage: Eukaryota; Viridiplantae; Streptophyta; Magnoliopsida; Malpighiales; Euphorbiaceae
Source: RNAcentral